GACGAACGCUGGCGGCGUGCUUAACACAUGCAAGUCGAACGGUAAGGCCCUUCGGGGUACACGAGUGGCGAACGGGUGAGUAACACGUGGGUGAUCUGCCUCGCACUUCGGGAUAAGCCUGGGAAACUGGGUCUAAUACCGGAUAUGACCUUCCAGUGCAUGCUGGUGGGUGGAAAGAUUUAUCGGUGCGAGAUGGGCCCGCGGCCUAUCAGCUUGUUGGUGGGGUAACGGCCCACCAAGGCGACGACGGGUAGCCGACCUGAGAGGGUGACCGGCCACACUGGGACUGAGACACGGCCCAGACUCCUACGGGAGGCAGCAGUGGGGAAUAUUGCACAAUGGGCGAAAGCCUGAUGCAGCGACGCCGCGUGAGGGAUGACGGCCUUCGGGUUGUAAACCUCUUUCGACAGGGACGAAGCGUAAGUGACGGUACCUGUAGAAGAAGCACCGGCCAACUACGUGCCAGCCGCCGCCGUAA
Molecule: ribosomal RNA, 478 nt
Filed under: uncultured bacterium
Lineage: Bacteria
Description: partial 16S ribosomal RNA
Rfam family: Bacterial small subunit ribosomal RNA
Source: RNAcentral